CUACGGGUUGCACCAGUGGGGAAUAUUGCACAAUGGGCGCAAGCCUGAUGCAGCCAUGCCGCGUGUAUGAAGAAGGCCCUCGGGUUGUAAAGUACUUUCAGCGGGGAGGAAGGGAGUAAAGUUAAUACCUUUGCUCAUUGACGUUACCCGCAGAAGAAGCACCGGCUAACUCCGUGCCAGCAGCCGCGGUAAUACGGAGGGUGCAAGCGUUAAUCGGAAUUACUGGGCGUAAAGCGCACGCAGGCGGUUUGUUAAGUCAGAUGUGAAAUCCCCGGGCUCAACCUGGGAACUGCAUCUGAUACUGGCAAGCUUGAGUCUCGUAGAGGGGGGUAGAAUUCCAGGUGUAGCGGUGAAAUGCGUAGAGAUCUGGAGGAAUACCGGUGGCGAAGGCGGCCCCCUGGACGAAGACUGACGCUCAGGUGCGAAAGCGUGGGGAGCAAACAGGAUUAGAUACCCCAGUAGUC
RNAcentral lists this ribosomal RNA (464 nucleotides) under uncultured bacterium. RNAcentral describes it as "partial 16S ribosomal RNA". It matches the Rfam family "Bacterial small subunit ribosomal RNA", at positions 339 to 795 of the family's 1533-position model. The record is from RNAcentral.